CAGUCGCCACGGGAAUACGGAGGGAGCUAGCGUUGUUCGGAAUUACUGGGCGUAAAGCGCGCGUAGGCGGUUACUCAAGUCAGAGGUGAAAGCCCGGGGCUCAACCCCGGAACUGCCUUUGAAACUAGGUGACUAGAAUCUUGGAGAGGUCAGUGGAAUUCCGAGUGUAGAGGUGAAAUUCGUAGAUAUUCGGAAGAACACCAGUGGCGAAGGCGACUGACUGGACAAGUAUUGACGCUGAGGUGCGAAAGCGUGGGGAGCAAACAGGAUUAGAGACCCGCGUAGUCCCUGUCUCUUAUAC
This 301-nucleotide ribosomal RNA is filed under the name uncultured bacterium. RNAcentral describes it as "partial 16S ribosomal RNA". It matches the Rfam family "Bacterial small subunit ribosomal RNA", at positions 509 to 807 of the family's 1533-position model. The record is from RNAcentral.